This 28-nucleotide non-coding RNA is filed under the name Mus musculus (house mouse). The record is from RNAcentral. Lineage: Eukaryota; Metazoa; Chordata; Mammalia; Rodentia; Muridae.
UCCUCAAAGGUAGCAGACUUGCUGAUGG